UACGAAGGGGGCUAGCGUUGCUCGGAAUCACUGGGCGUAAAGCGCACGUAGGCGGGUCUUUUAAGUCAGGGGUGAAAUCCCGGGGCUCAACCCCGGAACGGCCUUUGAUACUGGGUGUCUUGAGUUCGGAAGAGGUGAGUGGAAUUGCGAGUGUAGAGGUGAAAUUCGUAGAUAUUCGCAGGAACACCAGUGGCGAAGGCGGCCAACUGGACGAGUACUGACACUGAGACACGAAAGCGUGGGGGA
RNAcentral lists this ribosomal RNA (246 nucleotides) under uncultured bacterium. RNAcentral describes it as "partial 16S ribosomal RNA". It matches the Rfam family "Bacterial small subunit ribosomal RNA", at positions 524 to 768 of the family's 1533-position model. The record is from RNAcentral.